ACCCGGCCGUCGGGGCAA
Molecule: small nuclear RNA, 18 nt
Filed under: Arabidopsis thaliana (thale cress)
Lineage: Eukaryota; Viridiplantae; Streptophyta; Magnoliopsida; Brassicales; Brassicaceae
Description: snRNA_19255
Source: RNAcentral